GUAACAAGGUUUCCGUAGGUGAACCUGCGGAAGGAUCAUUACUGAGUGAGGGUCCCUCGGGGCCCAACCUCCCACCCGUGUAUACCGUACCUUGUUGCUUCGGCGGGCCCGCCGCGCAAGCGGCCGCCGGGGGGGCGUCAAACCCCCCUCCCUAGGCGAGCGCCCGCCGGAGACACCAACGUGAACACUGUCUGAAGUUUUGUUGUCUGAGUUCGAUUGUAUCGCAAUCAGUUAAAACUUUCAACAAUGGAUCUCUUGGUUCCGGCAUCGAUGAAGAACGCAGCGAAAUGCGAUAAUUAAUGUGAAUUGCAGAAUUCAGUGAAUCAUCGAGUCUUUGAACGCACAUUGCACCCCCUGGUAUUCCGGGGGGUAUGCCUGUCCGAGCGUCAUUGCUGCCCUCAAGCACGGCUUGUGUGUUGGGUCGUCGUCCCCCCCGGGGACGGGCCCGAAAGGCAGCGGCGGCACCGCGUCCGGUCCUCGAGCGUAUGGGGCUUUGUCACCCGCUCUUGUAGGCCCGGCCGGCGCUGGCCGACGCUGAAAAGCAACCAACUAUUUCUCCAGGUUGACCUCGGAUCAGGUAGGGAUACCCGCUGAACCUAAGCAUAUCA
Molecule: unclassified non-coding RNA, 608 nt
Filed under: Aspergillus sclerotiorum
Lineage: Eukaryota; Fungi; Ascomycota; Eurotiomycetes; Eurotiales; Aspergillaceae
Description: sequence contains 18S rRNA gene, ITS1, 5.8S rRNA gene, ITS2, 28S rRNA gene
Rfam family: 5.8S ribosomal RNA (bases 236-389)
Source: RNAcentral